GAUGAACGCUAGCUACAGGCUUAACACAUGCAAGUCGAGGGGCAUCAUGGAGUCAGCUUGCUGACUUUGAUGGCGACCGGCGCACGGGUGAGUAACGCGUAUCCAACCUUCCCCAUAGUAGGGCAUAGCCCGUAGAAAUGCGGAUUAAUACCCUAUGUUUUCCUUUGCAGGCAUCUAAUGAGGAACAAAGGUUUCACCGCUAUGGGAGUGGGGAUGCGUCUGAUUAGGCAGUCGGCGGGGUAACGGCCCACCGAGCCAUCGAUCAGUAGGGGUUCUGAGAGGAAGGUCCCCCACAUUGGUACUGAGACACGGACCAAACUCC
This 322-nucleotide ribosomal RNA is filed under the name uncultured Prevotella sp. Its description in RNAcentral is "bacterial SSU rRNA". It matches the Rfam family "Bacterial small subunit ribosomal RNA", at positions 28 to 339 of the family's 1533-position model. The record is from RNAcentral. Lineage: Bacteria; Pseudomonadati; Bacteroidota; Bacteroidia; Bacteroidales; Prevotellaceae.